This is a long non-coding RNA of Toxotes jaculatrix (banded archerfish), 1901 nucleotides long. RefSeq lists it as uncharacterized. The record is from RefSeq and is a predicted model, not a curated record. The transcript has 3 exons. NCBI's taxonomy places the organism in Eukaryota, Metazoa, Chordata, Actinopteri, Toxotidae.
GAUAUCUGACUUUGCACUUCCACAAUAUCCACUUGUAAUGACUACAGCACUAACAGCAGCGUAGUAAUAUAAAAACAUCAUUUCCAGGAGGAAGUGCUGCAUUUAUUCCUCACACAGAGUUCAGAUGGAGGAGGAUGGUGGGAUGCACAUGACUUUGACACUGGAGACUGGGGCUCCUGAAUCCUGAUCCAUUCUAGUUCUGGUUAAGUGCCCCUCUCAGACUGGAGACGAUUUCAUCCAACCACCAAGAGUUCACGGCUCGUCCAGGGCAGAAAUCUAGAUUUCCAGCACUUUGCUUCAGACACCUCAGCUGCCCUCUAUCACAGCUGAUAAAACAGGUUGUUACAGUUGACCGAACAACAGUGAGUCCCUGACCUUUUCCCUGAAAAUUUCCCAGCCUGUUUGUGACAACAUGGUCUGAAUGCUACAAGAUGACGUCUGAAAGUUUUUUUUUGUACUGGGUUGGUGGAAGGUGGCAAAGUCACAGCAGAGACAGAGGAAGGAAGAGAAAGACUGAAACAAAGACCGACAAAGACAAAAAGUGAGAAAUGGAAGGCGACAGCAGGAGAGGCAGAGCGGAGCGAGGAGCAAAAGAGCGUGCGAGAUGGAGUUUUCUUGGCAGAGCUCCCUGAAGCGCUGCACAUUCCCGCAAGAUUAAUUGAAGCUGUUUCUGUUUUUGUUUUUUCAGCCUGUGAAUUACCUCCAGAUUAUAGAGAAACAGCUGUUUACCCGCCUCCCCCGGACUCAGCCUGUGUGAUUAUGCAUCGAGUGACAACCAAGACAAACAUCCAGCGCGCUCGCUCGAGCUGCUCCGACGAAACCUUCACGCCUCUCCGAUGCUCUUUCCAUUUCACAACCUGUCAUUCAUUUGCAUAGCUAUUAAUGAAACAAACCAGACACCAUCAUUACAACGACAAAGAAAUAUUUAUUAAAUCUUUUUUUUUGUUGUUGUUGUUGUUUGUUUUAGUUAGUCAUAGCUGCUCCAACACGUGUAUUUACAAAGAAAUGGCCUUUUUGUAGAAAAGUCUAGUGAGGGACUGAGCAGGAAACAGACAUUAGAAUAGUUUCGAUGAGUACAGGAGAGGACGGGGCUCGUAUAGGCACAAGGUACAGUUACUACAAUGUUAAAAGAAAUGUGCAGUUUUGUGGCACAUCCAUGUCUUGUUUAGAAAAAAAAAAGUUGUGGCAAAAGUAACAAAACGUUCCCAAUGUUAGAUGCACCGACAAAAGCACACAUCCUUUUUUAAAAAAAAAAAAAAAAAAAAAAAGAUACAGAGGAUGUAGAACAGAUGCUGCAAGCCAGGGACACAGUGGUGCUAGCUUCAGGCUACAUGGUACCAAAAUCAGGUGAAGAAGAAGUCCUUACAACGCGUUACCCGCCCUCCUCGUAGCACAGUUUGUUCAAAAAACAUGAAACAUCAAAAUCUGAUGUGGAAAACAGACCUUCUCCCGGCUGCCACAAACAAACACGUCCAGCGUCUACACCAAUAAAAGUCAACCGCUUCUCCUGAGUCCUGCAACAUCGUCACGGAAGUCUUUAACCGCGACUUGGCUCGGAAACAGCUGGAGGUGAAGAUUAGCGAGAGAGACCACAAACGGAAACAAAGAUCAGACUGCACCUCGAAGACACUUUGGAUGCAACAAUACAAUGAACAAAAGCAGUAUUUUUUUUUCUUAUUUUUUUUUUCUAAAAAAGGAGGGAAAACAGAUUUUCCAGCUCUUGCAGAUCCAUCUGUUCUUUCUUCAGGCCCUUUGAUUCGUGAUUGUAACCCGACCACACUGCAUGUUUGAUAUGUGCCACGUUUGCACAAACACGUUUACCCAUACAGGGUGCAAUGUUGAUCCUGUUUUUGUUUUUCUAUUUCAUAUAAAAGACAUAUAAAAUGAAAUUAAGCAUUUUU